Homo sapiens (human) is the source of this 1444-nucleotide long non-coding RNA. Ensembl annotates it as ARHGAP29 antisense RNA 1. Its record names the gene ARHGAP29-AS1. The record is from Ensembl. NCBI's taxonomy places the organism in Eukaryota, Metazoa, Chordata, Mammalia, Primates, Hominidae.
AGAACGCGGCGGUCAGCUGCGCCCGGCCUGAAGUUGUCCCAACCGCGGCCGCGUCGGUCGCCCUUUUGACUUGCAGCAGGGCGGGCAGAGCGACUUAGAGGAAAAGUGACUUUUUGUACCCUCCUGCAGGGAGCAGGUUCUCUGUCCUUGUUUAAUUAGACAUUUCUCAGAGAAUCCUGCCUCUGCUCUGAAGCCUUUCUGUUCGCUCCAGUGAAAAUUAGUCAUCCACCGGGCGCGGUGGCUCACGCCUGCAAUCCCAGCACUUUGGGAGGCCGAGGUCUGGGCUUGAUGUUCACCGAUUUUCCCUCAGCUCCGACUGUGGCUCCUCUCAGCUGACUCUGACCCUGCUCUCAGCCGGGCUGCAUCUGCCCAUCUCAGCACAUCAAUAAACAGCAGAGGGAAACUACCACCUUGGAAGGAGCCAGGCAGUUUCUGCUGGGUAGGCCGCAGCCUGGAACAUGGAAGUAGCUUCUUCCAUCCUACACUGGAAACCACCCAGCAUCCCGGGCCCUCCAGAGAAGAGCCAGACUCCCUUCCCUGGGAAGAGACUAUAGUCCUAUCUAGCUUUUCCUUACUUCAGUAUUGCAUGAUAAUUCUCAAGCCUGUUCUUUACAUAAAUACAAAAAGGAGAAAGUGAAAUAGUAGAGGAACCGACCGAUUUGAAGGAGCUGCCACUAUUUGAUUCCUCCUGUUAGGACAUCUGAAUGACCCCAAGUUCCUGUUCUUGAGGCUGUUGUAUCAUAUUCUUAAAAGCUAUGCAUGCAUUCUGCUUUGAAUGUGUCCCUCAGCCUCAUUCUUCUCCACUUGCUGGGGGCCAUCCCGCCCCACGGGAAGAUCAAGAAGUGAUAACUGGGACUGCUACCUGGAGCUAUCAGAGAGAAAGGCCUGUGCUUCUUUUUGCCUUCACUGGGGUUGGUAGAUGGCUUCCUGACUUUUGAUCAUCAAAGCUUAGACUGAAACUGAGGUUCAAGGAAACUAAAAAGAUCCUGACAGAGGCUGGAGGAGAGAGGGGUUCUUUAGCUGAAUAGUGCACAGGUCAGCUGAACGCCUAGGUCUGAAGAUCUCAGCCUCACCCCAAAACUUCAUACCCCUUUCAUGUCAUAGAAGGAACCAUGAAGGCUGGGGCAAUGACAGUUCAGUCACAGCUAGUGCACACAGAUGAUUAAUAAAUGGAACGGACUCCAUAAUGCCCUAGAGAUGUAUGAGACCCCAGAACUUUGACAUAAUUCUUAAAGUGGAAAAGCCUGAGAAGAUUGGGUUUUUUGUUUCAUAUUUAAAUUUCAUUUUCAAAUGUAAUUGGUUCAACAAAUGAUGCUGGGACAGCUGGAUAUCCACAUGCCAAAGAGUGACACUGGGCACUCACUUCACACAAUAUGCAAAAAUUGAUACAAAAGGGAUCAAAGACUUAAAUGAAAGAGGUAAAACUACAAAACUAAGAAGAAAA